CCUACGGGAGGCAGCAGUGGGGAAUAUUGGACAAUGGGCGAAAGCCUGAUCCAGCCAUGCCGCGUGUGUGAAGAAGGCCUUCGGGUUGUAAAGCACUUUCAGUGGGGGAGAAAGCCUUGGGGCUAAUACCCUCGAGGAAGGACAUCACCCACAGAAGAAGCACCGGCUAACUCCGUGCCAGCAGCCGCGGUAAUACGGAGGGUGCGAGCGUUAAUCGGAAUUACUGGGCGUAAAGCGCGCGUAGGCGGUCUGAUAAGCCGGUUGUGAAAGCCCCGGGCUCAACCUGGGAACGGCAUCCGGAACUGUCAGGCUAGAGUGCAGGAGAGGAAGGUAGAAUUCCCGGUGUAGCGGUGAAAUGCGUAGAGAUCGGGAGGAAUACCAGUGGCGAAGGCGGCCUUCUGGACUGACACUGACGCUGAGGUGCGAAAGCGUGGGUAGCAAACAGGAUUAGAUACCCCAGUAGUC
RNAcentral lists this ribosomal RNA (465 nucleotides) under Vreelandella stevensii. Its description in RNAcentral is "partial 16S ribosomal RNA". It matches the Rfam family "Bacterial small subunit ribosomal RNA", at positions 338 to 795 of the family's 1533-position model. Lineage: Bacteria; Pseudomonadati; Pseudomonadota; Gammaproteobacteria; Oceanospirillales; Halomonadaceae. The record is from RNAcentral.